AUGGGAUCGGAGGCGGAUGCGGCGGAGAUGACCGGGCCCCUCCUUGCCGGCGUGCCGUCGGCGGUGGAGGCGGUGCCGCCGUGGCGGGAGCAGCUGACGGUCCGGGGUGUGGUGGUGAGCGCCAUCCUGGGGGUGCUCUUCUGCCUCAUCACACACAAGCUCAACCUCACGGUGGGGAUCAUUCCUUCGCUCAACGUCGCCGCGGGCCUGCUCGCCUACUUCCUCGUGCGGACCUGGACUGCGGCGCUGGACAUGUUCGGCGUUGUCUCCAAGCCCUUCACGAAGCAGGAGAACACCGUCAUCCAGACCUGCGUCGUCGCCUGCUACGGCCUCGCCACCAGCGGCUGGUAUCAUGUGAUACUUUCCCUCGGAUCAUAUAUGCUUGCAAUGGAUCAAAAAACUUACGAGCUUCUUGGGACUGAUUAUCCUGGUAACAGGGCAGUGGAUGUGAAGAAUCCCUCGCUAAGUUGGAUGAUUGGGUUUAUGUUUGUAGUUAGCUUCAUUGGUAUUUUUUGUCUCGUUGCCCUGCGCAAGGCGAUGGUGAUAAACUAUAAGCUAACCUAUCCCAGAGGAACUGCCACAGCUAUGUUCAUAAACAGCGUCCACACUUCUACCGGAGAUGAGUUAGUAGAAAAACAAGUUAGUUGUCUCGGAAAGUAUUUAAGCAUAAGUUUCCUUUGGAACUGCUUUAAAUGGUUCUUCAGCGGUGCCGGGGAUUCUUGUGGCUUCGACAACUUCCCUUCUCUGGGCCUUGCAGCAUUUAAGAACAUGUUUUAUUUUGACUUCAAUCCAACCUAUAUUGGAUGUGGCCUUAUAUGUCCACAUAUAGUUAAUUGCUCUGCACUUCUUGGAGCCAUCAUAUCUUGGGGUUUUCUUUGGCCAUAUAUAUCGACAAAAGCGGGGGAGUGGUACCCAGCUAACCUUGGAAGCAAUGACUUCAAAGGACUCUAUGGGUACAAGGUUUUCAUAUCGGUAUCCUUGAUACUUGGUGAUGGUACUUUUAACCUCAUCAAAAUAAUUUAUGCUACUAUCAAGGAAAUAAUGAAUGCACGCUCAAAGCAAGGAAGACUUCCCCUUGUUCGGGUUCAUGAUGAUGAUAAAAAUUCCAAAUUAUCAGUCAAGGAAAAGCUUCUAAAUGAGGUGUUUCUAAAAGACAGUAUCCCUCCCUGGUUGGCAGGAUCUGGUUAUGUGGGCCUUGCAGCAAUUUCAACUGCAAUAGUGCCAAUGAUAUUCCCACAACUCAAGUGGUACCUUGUCCUCUUUGCCUAUGUUGUUGCUCCUCUACUUGCCUUCUGCAACUCAUACGGAACUGGACUAACAGAUUGGAACCUUGCAUCCACAUAUGGAAAGAUUGGCCUUUUCAUUUUUGCCUCAUGGGUUGGCCAACAUGGUGGUGUGAUCGCCGGCUUAGCAGCUUGUGGUGUUAUGAUGUCCAUCGUAUCCACAGCUGGUGAUCUCAUGCAUGACUUCAAGACUGGGUACCUGACCCUCUCAUCACCAAGGUCCAUGUUUGUGUCACAGUUGAUUGGCACUGCCCUUGGUUGUGUCAUUGCUCCUCUAACCUUUUGGCUUUACUGGACAUCCUUCGAUAUUGGCAAUCCUGAUGGUAUGUUCAAAGCUCCAUAUGCCAUCAUCUUCCGUGAGAUGUCAAUCAUGGGUGUCGAAGGAUUCUCAGUGUUGCCGCGACAUUGCCUUGCAAUAUGCUCUUUCUUCUUCUUUGGAGCCAUAGCAAUCAAGCUCAUCCGGGAUGUCACCCCAAAUGGUCUAUCCAAAUUCAUCCCGCUCCUGAUGGCCAUGGCCGUUUCAUUUUACAUUGGGGCAUACUUCGCGAUUGACAUAUUUAUCGGGACUGUCAUCUUGUUUGUAUGGGAGAUGGUGAACCGUAAGGAGUCAGAGGAGUUUGCGGGUGCGGUUGCUUCUGGUUUGAUUUGCGGUGAUGGUAUCUGGAGUGUUCCGUCUGCAAUAUUGUCCAUCAUGAGGAUUGACCCACCGAUGUGCAUGUACUUCAAGCCAUCUUUUACCUAUGGCUGA
Molecule: ribosomal RNA, 2031 nt
Filed under: Triticum aestivum (bread wheat)
Lineage: Eukaryota; Viridiplantae; Streptophyta; Magnoliopsida; Poales; Poaceae
Description: partial small subunit ribosomal RNA
Source: RNAcentral